AUGGAUAACCCGUUGAAGACGACGAGAGACGAGCAGGACAAUAUAACAAAUGAACACCAGAACUGCAGUUCCAUGGCAAAAGAUAAUAACUCUAAUUUGCAGCAAGUUGGUGAUAUACGGGAGACAACAUCGUCCAUGAAAGAAGCUUUAAUCAUCGGAAGGACCAAAGAAAAACAGAAAAUAUUGUCAAUUUUAUCUGAGAGCAGCACACAAGAGAUCACAUUCCUUCCAACAUAUGGUAUUGGAGGCAUUGGGAAGACAACCAUGGCACAAUUGAUUUUCAAUGAUCUCCAGUUCAAAGAGUACUCUCGGGUUUGGACCUAUGUUUCCCAGACAUUUGAUAUGAAGAAAAUUGGGAAUUCUACAAUAACACAGCUAUCUGGUAACAAGAGUGAGCAUACUGACCUUCAGAUGAUAGAAAAUAGCCUACAAAAGCUCCUUUCUGGUAAGAGGGUUCUAAUCAUCUUAGAUGACCUGUGGGAGAGGCAAUCAUCUCAGUUAAAAAAGUUGGAGGGUAUGCUAAAGCUGGGUGAAGGGGGCAAAGUGGUGGUGGUAGUAACCACACGAGAAGAAUCUAUAGCACAGAAUAUUCACACAGACACAGUGGAGCCAUACAAGCUAGCUCCCUUGACAGAUGACAUUUGUUGGACUAUCAUAAAAAUUAAAAGUUCAUUUGAAUCUAGGGCUGAAAGAGUGCAGUUAGAGUUGAUCGGAAAGGAAAUUGCAAAGAAGUGUGGAGUUCUAGCUUUAGUAGCCCAAUCUAUUGGGUAUACAUUGGGCAACAUGGAAUUCGAUGAAUGGGUGUCGGUGAACAACAGUGAGAUCUGGGAUGUGCUUGCCACCGGAGAAUAUUCACCUGAUCAUGUGCAUGCAUCCUUACAGCUAACCUAUCACCGUAUGGAUCCAUACUUGAAGUUAUGCUUUGCUUAUUGCGCAACCUUUCCAAAAGGUCACUGGAUGGCUAUAGAAGAUCUAAUUUACCAAUGGAUUGCUCUUGGACUUGUUGAGCCAUCAAGGACAUUAUCUAAUAUACAAACCGGUCAUAAAUAUAUUCGUCAUCUUUUCGGCACGUGCUUCAUUGAACAUCCUUCUUGGUCACAAUCGUUUCUCUUCAUUGUUCAUGAAGCCUGA
RNAcentral lists this ribosomal RNA (1131 nucleotides) under Triticum aestivum (bread wheat). RNAcentral's name for it is "partial small subunit ribosomal RNA". The record is from RNAcentral. Lineage: Eukaryota; Viridiplantae; Streptophyta; Magnoliopsida; Poales; Poaceae.